AGCUCUUAUUUGAAUAAGCACUUAUAUGAAUAAGCACUAAAAAAAUAAAUAAACCACCACUGGGGGUGUAAACUGGGGUCUGGGGGUGAGGCAAUAGCAAAGCUGCAACACCAAGCCCAGCCCAGUUCGGUUUGUCCAAAAAAAUGAACAGAACAAAAAUGAUUCAGCGUGUCAUCAGGAUCAGGGUGCGCGAUAGGCUUCACAGAUCUGGGCUUUCUGAUUCAUCAGAUGGCUUGGAUUUUAAAAUAAUCAAAUAGAUCUCAGCCUUUCACCAGAUCCAACAGACAUCUCUUAAACUUGGGAGGGAGCCAAUGACGCGCUGACACGUCAUCGUCUUCAACCUCCUUCACCUUCUUCACGUUGAAGAAUCAACAACAGGAAGCCAUGAAAGCUUCAAGUGAAGCUCACGGCCAAACACAACAUCAUCAAUUCUUGACCAAAAAUCAAACGUUUAUAUACCAUUUCGCUCGUAAUCAUGCGUAGAUCAUGAAUAUAAACUUAGAUUUUUUAAAAGGUGUUUGUAUCUCAAAAAAAGUUCGAAACUUUAAAACCCAAAAAAACUUUAAAAUUCACAUUUGAACGAAUUAAACAAAAUUAAGGGUUGGAAAAGCUUCAGUAGGUGUUAAUGAGUAAAAAAAGUUUAGAAACCUACUUGUUUUGUGCUUUGUUUCGGUGGGUUAACUCUCACUCUUUUAUUAGCUAUUUUUGAACCUUGUGUAAGCUUUUGUUGAUGGUUUUUCUUCGUUUUUCUUGCGG
RNAcentral lists this long non-coding RNA (756 nucleotides) under Trifolium pratense (red clover). RNAcentral describes it as "long non-coding RNA (TPRA_LNC001521)". Lineage: Eukaryota; Viridiplantae; Streptophyta; Magnoliopsida; Fabales; Fabaceae. The record is from RNAcentral.